UACGUAGGGUGCAAGCGUUGUCCGGAAUUAUUGGGCGUAAAGAGCUCGUAGGCGGCUUGUCGCGUCUGCUGUGAAAACCCGAGGCUCAACCUCGCGCCUGCAGUGGAUACGGGCAGGCUAGAGUGCGGUAGGGGAGAUUGGAAUUCCUGGUGUAGCGGUGGAAUGCGCAGAUAUCAGGAGGAACACCAAUGGCGAAGGCAGAUCUCUGGGCCGUAACUGACGCUGAGGAGCGAAAGCGUGGGGAGCAAACAGG
Molecule: ribosomal RNA, 253 nt
Filed under: uncultured bacterium
Lineage: Bacteria
Description: partial 16S ribosomal RNA
Rfam family: Bacterial small subunit ribosomal RNA
Source: RNAcentral